GUACAGCAGUCGAGAAUUUUUCUCAAUGGGGGAAACCCUGAAGGAGCGACGCCGCGUGGAGGAUGAAGGUCUUCGGGUUGUAAACUCCUGUCAUUUGGGAACAAGUGCCAACAAGUAACUACUGUUGGCUUGAUAGUACCAGAAGAGGAAGAGACGGCUAACUCUGUGCCAGCAGCCGCGGUAAUACAGAGGUCUCAAGCGUUGUUCGGAUUCAUUGGGCGUAAAGGGUGCGUAGGUGGCGCCGUAAGUCAGGUGUGAAAUUUCGGAGCUUAACUCCGAAACUGCAUUUGAUACUGCGGUGCUUGAGGACUGGAGAGGAGACUGGAAUUUACGGUGUAGCAGUGAAAUGCGUAGAGAUCGUAAGGAAGACCAGUGGCGAAGGCGGGUCUCUGGACAGUUCCUGACACUGAGGCACGAAGGCCAGGGGAGCGAAACGGGAUUAGAUACCCCU
RNAcentral lists this ribosomal RNA (451 nucleotides) under uncultured organism. Its description in RNAcentral is "bacterial SSU rRNA". It matches the Rfam family "Bacterial small subunit ribosomal RNA", at positions 346 to 789 of the family's 1533-position model. The record is from RNAcentral.